This 1302-nucleotide ribosomal RNA is filed under the name uncultured bacterium. Its description in RNAcentral is "bacterial SSU rRNA". It matches the Rfam family "Bacterial small subunit ribosomal RNA", at positions 28 to 1381 of the family's 1533-position model. The record is from RNAcentral.
GAUGAACGCUGGCGGUAUGCUUAACACAUGCAAGUCGAACGAAAGUUUUUAACUUUAGUGGCGAACGGGUGCGUAAUACGUGAGAAUCUGCCCUUAGGAAAAGAAUAACUACUGGAAACGGUUGCUAAAUCUUUAUAUACCGAGAGGUGAAAUAGUUUCGGCUGCCUAAGGAUGAGCUCGCGCCUGAUUAGCUAGUUGGUAAGGUAAUGGCUUACCAAGGCCACGAUCAGUAGCUGGUUUGAGAGAACGAUCAGCCACAUUGGGACUGAGACACGGCCCAAACUCCUCCGGGAGGCAGCAGUGAGGAAUUUUCCGCAAUGGGCGAAAGCCUGACGGAGCAAUACCGCGUGAGGGAUGAAGGAUUUUGGUCUGUAAACCUCUUUUCUCAAGAAAGAAGAUCUGACGGUACUUGAGGAAUAAGCAUCGGCUAACUCCGUGCCAGCAGCCGCGGUAAUACGGGGGAUGCAAGCGUUAUCCGGAAUCAUUGGGCGUAAAGCGCCUGUAGGUUGUUUAAUAAGUCUGUUGUUAAAGACUAGGGCUUAACCCUAGAAAAGCAAUGGAAACUACUAGACUUGAGUAUGGCAGGGGUAGAGGGAAUUUCUAGUGUAGCGGUGAAAUGCGUAGAUAUUAGAAAGAACACCGGUGGCGAAAGCGCUCUACUGGACCAUUACUGACACUCAGAGGCGAAAGCUAGGGUAGCAAAAGGGAUUAGAUACCCCUGUAGUCCUAGCCGUAAACGAUGGAUACUAGAUGUUGUGUGUUUUUCACAGUAUCGUAGCUAACGCGUUAAGUAUCCCGCCUGGGGAGUACGCUCGCAAGGGUGAAACUCAAAGGAAUUGACGGGGGCCCGCACAAGCGGUGGAGCAUGUGGUUUAAUUCGAUGCAACGCGAAGAACCUUACCAGGGCUUGACAUACUACGAAUCUUUUUGAAAGAAAAGAGUGCCUUCGGGAAUGUAGAUACAGGUGGUGCAUGGCUGUCGUCAGCUCGUGUCGUGAGAUGUUGGGUUAAGUCCCGCAACGAGCGCAACCCUUGUUUUUAGUUACCAUUAUUGGGAUCUCUAGAAAGACUGCCGGUGACAAACCGGAGGAAGGUGAGGAUGACGUCAAGUCAGCAUGCCCCUUAUGUCCUGGGCUACACACGUGCUACAAUGGUUAAGACAAAGGGUUGCAAAUCCGCAAGGAUAAGCUAAUCCCAUAAACUUAAUCUAAGUUCAGAUUGUAGGCUGCAACUCGCCUACAUGAAGUUGGAAUCGCUAGUAAUCGCUGGUCAGCCAUACAGCGGUGAAUCCGUUCCCGGGCCU